MicroRNA precursor from Naja naja (Indian cobra), 99 nucleotides. Ensembl annotates it as microRNA 15b. Its record names the gene MIR15B. The record is from Ensembl. NCBI's taxonomy places the organism in Eukaryota, Metazoa, Chordata, Lepidosauria, Squamata, Elapidae.
UCUGGAAGCCUCAGAGUACUAUAGCAGCACAUCAUGAUUUGUGUUUCAUAAUAAAUAUGCAAGUCAUUAUUUGCUGCUUUAGAAUUUUAAGGAAGAAAA